This 434-nucleotide ribosomal RNA is filed under the name Panesthia heurni. Its description in RNAcentral is "partial 12S rRNA". The record is from RNAcentral. Lineage: Eukaryota; Metazoa; Arthropoda; Insecta; Blattodea; Blaberidae.
UACUAUGUUACGACUUAUCUCAUCUUAAUAACGAGAGUGACGGGCGAUGUGUACACACCUUAGAGCUAAUAUCACAAAAAUAAUUAUUAUUAUUGAUUACUAUUAAAUCCUCCUUCAUAAAAUAUUUUCAAACCACAAUUCGUAUAUCUUAUAAAUAAUGUAAUCCAUUACCACUCAGUCAUCAACUGCACCUUGACCUGAAAUAAAAUUAAUUACAAUCUAAAGAAAAUUUACCCUAAAAAGAUCUUCAGAUAACGGCGGUAUACAUAUUAAAUCUUACUGAGUAAGGUUCAACGCGGAUUAUCGAUAACGGAACAGAUUCCUCUAACUAGACUAAAAUACCGCCAAAUUCUUUAAGUUUCAAGACCAUAUCUAAUACUACUUAAGUUAUAACACUUUUAUAUCCAAAAUAAUAGGGUAUCUAAUCCUAGUUU